AUCCAUCUGACGAGUCUCAAAUAGGACGAAACGCCCGUCUUGAAU
Schistosoma haematobium is the source of this 45-nucleotide non-coding RNA. Lineage: Eukaryota; Metazoa; Platyhelminthes; Trematoda; Strigeidida; Schistosomatidae. The record is from Rfam.